AGGUCCUGCCUGCCCUGUGACCAUGAGUUUAACGGCCGCGGUAUUUUGACCGUGCAAAGGUAGCGCAAUCACUUGUCUUUUAAAUGAAGACCUGUAUGAAUGGCACGACGAGGGCUUAACUGUCUCCUUUUUCCAGUCAAUGAAAUUGAUCUCCCCGUGCAGAAGCGGGGAUAAAAACAUUAGACGAGAAGACCCUAUGGAGCUUUAGACACCAGGACAGUCCAUGUCAAACACCCCUAUUUAAAGGACUGAACCAAUUGGGCCCUGUUCUAAUGUCUUUGGUUGGGGCGACCACGGGGAAACACAAAACCCCCAUGUGGACCAGGAAUACUUUUCCUACAACUAAGAGUUACAACUCUAAUAAACAGAACUUCUGACCAGAUAUGAUCCGGCAAUGCUGAUCAACGGACCAAGUUACCCUAGGGAUAACAGCGCAAUCCCCUCUAAGAGCCCAUAUCGACGAGGGGGUUUACGACCUCGAUGUUGGAUCAGGACAUCCUAAUGGUGCAACCGCUAUUAAGGGUUCGUUUGUUCAACGAUUAAAGUCCUACGUGA
RNAcentral lists this ribosomal RNA (555 nucleotides) under Brachyistius frenatus (kelp perch). Its description in RNAcentral is "partial 16S ribosomal RNA". It matches the Rfam family "Bacterial large subunit ribosomal RNA", at positions 1850 to 2603 of the family's 2925-position model. Lineage: Eukaryota; Metazoa; Chordata; Actinopteri; Embiotocidae. The record is from RNAcentral.